Non-coding RNA from Pelobates cultripes (western spadefoot toad), 300 nucleotides. NCBI's taxonomy places the organism in Eukaryota, Metazoa, Chordata, Amphibia, Anura, Pelobatidae. The record is from the annotation of a GenBank genome assembly.
AUAUUGGGACAUAUAAAAAAAGACAACUCUGUUCCGCAGAGUAGCUGUUGACAUUAUAGUUGCGCAGGCACUUUAUUGACUCUAGAGAACCUAGGGCCAAUCGCACAUCCCUGUGGCGGCGACUUUGCAUGCGGAAGUCAUCCAUAUCAACUUUCGAUGCCAGUUUCUGCGCCUACCAUGGUGACCACGGAUAAUGGGGAAUCAGGGUUCCAUUCCGUACAGGGACUCUGAAAAAUGGCUACCAUGUGCAAGGAAGGUAGCAGGCACGCAAAUGACCCACUCCCGAUGCGGGAAGGUAGU